RNAcentral lists this ribosomal RNA (428 nucleotides) under uncultured bacterium. RNAcentral's name for it is "bacterial SSU rRNA". It matches the Rfam family "Bacterial small subunit ribosomal RNA", at positions 28 to 450 of the family's 1533-position model. The record is from RNAcentral.
GACGAACGCUGGCGGCGCGCCUAACACAUGCAAGUCGAACGAGCGAGAGAGAGCUUGCUUUCUCGAGCGAGUGGCGAACGGGUGAGUAACGCGUGAGGAACCUGCCUCAAAGAGGGGGACAACAGUUGGAAACGACUGCUAAUACCGCAUAAGCCCACGGUGCCGCAUGGCACAGAGGGAAAAGGAGCAAUCCGCUUUGAGAUGGCCUCGCGUCCGAUUAGCUAGUUGGUGAGGUAACGGCCCACCAAGGCAACGAUCGGUAGCCGGACUGAGAGGUUGAACGGCCACAUUGGGACUGAGACACGGUCCAGACACCUACGGGUGGCAGCAGUCGAGAAUCAUUCACAAUGGGGGAAACCCUGAUGGUGCGACGCCGCGUGGGGGAAUGAAGGUCUUCGGAUUGUAAACCCCUGUCAUGUGGGAGCAAA